CAAAAAUAAGAGUUCAAGGGGAAUAAAAAGAAAGAUUCAGUGUAAGUUAUGAAUAUAAGCAUGUAAAGUAAGAAUAGGAAUUAAAACAGUUUUACAUUUCAGGUUAUGUAACUAUUUACUCAGAAAAUGUUUUUUUAAAAUUACCCAUUUUCCAGUAGAAAACACUGGUAUAUGACAUCCCUCAACAGUCCACCCCUGCUUCCAGUUUCCUUUAUGAAAUAGAACUUACUGUGAUGAAAAGUGAUGAUUAACAUAAGUGGUUACAACUAUACUAGGAAUAAUAGUGACAGAGAAAUACAAACUGUAAUUGCUUUUGUUUUUCAAGGAAAAAGAGUCAUUUUUCAGUGAUUUUCAAGCAUUUUGGUUUGUGUCACCUUUAAAUUCAUAAAACAUUAUUGACAAUCCUAGCGUUUUUCUUGUAUGUGUGUUGAUAUUUACCAUAUUAAAAAUUAAGACCAAGAUUUCAAAAUGACCCAUUUUAUGGGGUGGGGAGGUCCCCACAUCUUGGAUUCCAAUUCCUACCUCUGCAGAGAACUGCAGAGUGGCUGAGUGCAUGGCACAUUCAGCUUGCAAAUGGCUUGCCUAACCCAUCGGGUGCGCCUCGGCCUCCAGUUCAUCUCCCUUUCCGGUCGUUUGACUUGUUUGUUGAACAGGGUAUUUUUAUACUGAAUUCUCCCUCGGACUCUGUAGGGAAAAUCAAUCAUGGAUUGUGUGGCCGUGGAACAUACACGGCCCGUGGAUGAGCUGGCUCAUGGCUCGUCACAGAGUCAGCUGUCUACACGGCGUGAUUGAAGCUUUACGUGGGAGUGCACUCGGACCCCAGGUAUUUCCUCCUUUUGUGUGUCAUGGCACCCAGCUCCUCUCCAGCCUGCUGUUUCCUGUGCUGACUUACCAAGUCUGAAUCUCAGGCUGGGUUCCCUCAAUGAGGUGUGCUCCUCUGUGACCUCCCCACUCCCUAUAGCCGCUCCACCUUCCUCUCUCAAAUUCAAGGGCUGCCCAAGCUGCAAGCUCAUUGAGCAGUUCCAGAAAAGCUUAAAUGGGAAGAACAAUGACAGGGAGGCAAAACACCUGCUUGCAACUCAAACAUGUGUUUCCUUUAGAGCAUCUGAAUACAUGGAGCUCUGGUCACUGCCUGGGCCUGGAGACGGGGCAGGGAAUCAGACGGGGAAUACAGUAACAAACUCGAGUCACUGUGCAUUUGAAGCAAGGCGUUGAUUCAACACGCCAAGAUGACGGGUGGUCCCCAGAUCCUGGAUCCAGAGGCACUAACCACGCCUACUAUACAGUGAGAUACAAAGAAGUGUCCUGCAUGCUCCCUUGGCCAUCGGGGCCAGACCAAGUGUUUGGAUUUUGUGCUGCUGAUUCUGAAACUCCACCUCCAAUCCUCGAGAAGUCUCCCUGCAGGUCUACUGUUUGGCUAUGAUCGAUGGUCCCCAGGUGUGGUGUUAUUUCAUUUCCAGUUUAUCACGUUAAUAUUUUACACAUUAUGGGGAAUCCUGGAAUGAGUGCUGUUCUACGCACACAGGAAAGCCACAGUUAAUCUGUAGAAGGUGUUCCAGCAGCUUAUGGAGCUUUGGUUUCUAAAAGACUAAAGUGCUCAGUGGACUGCAGAUACCUGAAACAAUGAGGAUUUUUUUUCUUGUGUUUUGAUUUUUGCUUUCAGGUGGGAACCCAUUUUUCAAAAGGACUAAUUUGAGUUGUGGUUGGAUGCAAACCUUGGCUGGAAUCUCCCCCACUGAUCCUGUCGUUCUCUUGUGAUUGCUAACAGUUCCACGCGGCACAAAUAAGCCAAGGAUAUUGCAGGCGCGAUCUGAAAGCCGGAGCAACAUGGGAAGAGCAAAAAGAGUUUCGUCUGGAAUGGGUGCCGGUGCUUUUCCACUGCAAAAGCAACCCAGGCAAUUUGCUUUAGAGGUUGGAGCCAAGGUCUGAGGAAUUGAGACAAGAAAACAUCCCAGGGUAGUGUGGAAGUGCAGCCUUCUCUAUUCCCAGCCUGUUGCAGACAGCCGUGCCAUCUCCUACACCCACAGGUGAUUUUUUGUUUUGUUUUUGUUUUUUGUUUUCUGUUUUUGAGACAGAUUCUAGCUCUGUCACCCAGGCUGGAGUGCAGGGGCGCCGUCUCUGCUCACUGCAACCUCCUCCUCCUGGGUUCAAGUGAUUCUUCUGCUUCAGCCUCCCGAGUAGCUGGGAUUACAGGUGUGCACCACCAUGCCUGGCUAAUUUUUGUAUUUUUAGUAGAGACGGGGUUUCACCAAGUUGGCCAGGCUGGUCUGGAACUCCUGACCUCAGGUGAUCCGCCCACCUCAGCCUCCCAAAGUGCUGGGAUUCCAGGCGUGAGCCACCUUGCCUGGGCAGAGGUGUGUUCAUUGUUGUUGUUGCUUCUAUCAGGUGGCGAACGCCAGGCAUUACCAUGACUUGGGCAGUACACCUCACUCUGAGCGACAGUGCCCUGGAAAGAACAUGAGCCUCUAGAGUCCAUUGAACUCAGCUUUGAGUUCCAGGUUCUGUCACUUAUUAGUGGACAAGUCAUUAGGCUUCCCUAAGUCUUCCAUUUCUGAUUCUUAAAAUGAGGAUAAAAGGACCCACCUCGCAGGGUUGCUGGAAGGGUUGUGUUAAGGGUGCCAGGCAUAUACUAGGUUUCCAAACAAUGAGCUAGUCCUAUGUCCAGACUCUUAAACUAUGAUGGGUUAAAAAUAGUAAAUCAUAUUUUUUUUCAUUAAAAACAAUUUUUUU
Long non-coding RNA from Homo sapiens (human), 2730 nucleotides. RefSeq lists it as uncharacterized. NCBI's taxonomy places the organism in Eukaryota, Metazoa, Chordata, Mammalia, Primates, Hominidae. The record is from RefSeq and is a predicted model, not a curated record. The transcript is spliced from 2 exons.